CUUGCUCUUCUGUGUACGCAUGCGCACAUACACUCACUGGAGUAGUUGAUAUUCACAGAAGUGUGCUUGUAGUUGAGAGUAGGUAAUGGAGUUUGGAUUUAAGAGUGGUCUCUCAGUGCAGGGGCUAUUAAGUAUACGGAAUAUAUGAGUUUUAUAAGGUGUUAACAGGAUCGAUUAAAGUUUGAGGGGCAUGGGUUGGUGUGGCCUAUAUGCAGAUUUUUUAUACUAAAGACAGCUAAUGAGAAAGAGAAGUCUUUCUUUGAUAAUGCAAUAGUUUAAUGAUACCUUAAAUUAGGAAUUCCUAACAAUUCAGAUGGACUGAAUGGUUCUUAUCUGCCAUCACAUUCUAUGUUUCUAUAUGACAAGUAAAAUGCACACUUGAAACUGGUCCGAUCCAAGAUGCAAUAGCAUGAUACAAAAGAUAAAUGCACAUAAAGUAUAUGCAUUCAAUAUUUUUUUUUCCAUUUAAAGAGCUUAAAGUUUAGAAUCACUGUUAAAU
Molecule: non-coding RNA, 499 nt
Organism: Pelobates cultripes (western spadefoot toad)
Lineage: Eukaryota; Metazoa; Chordata; Amphibia; Anura; Pelobatidae
Source: the annotation of a GenBank genome assembly